CUGGGAGCUACCGGUCCUCCGAGCCUCUCUCCCGCCGUCCAGCGCUCUUAGUGCGGCUCCGGGCCGCGCUCUGAGACACCGCGCGGUCGCUCUGCCGAGGAGUAGCCGGCCCUGGAAGUUCAGGCCCGCACCGGGCGAUGGUUCCCACUCUGCGCGGGGCCUCCCUCUGCCGUGGCCUCUCCUACCUCUCCUCACUCCCACCCUCGGAAUUCCCCGCCGGGUGUCCUCUGGGUGACCCGCAGGCGACGCCUCUUCCGGCAUCCACCUUCCCCAGGGUGGCUGCUGCCUUGAGGCGCGGCGGGGCCGAACCGACCUCCGCGCUCGCCAUCUGCUUUGCGCACUGGUUCCGGCCCGGCCACUCCACCUCCAGCCCGCGGGGAGGAGAGGCCAGGACGCCAAGGCUCCAGGGACGGUGCCAGGCAAGGGUGCAAGGAUCGGACUGGCCCCUGCCCGGCAUGACAGAGUCCGGAGCCCCAAGACCAGAGCGCCGCGCAGAGCGGGGCCGGAGGACCUUGGCUGCGGGGUCUUCAAGGGUCAUCGCCGCCUCAUUUCCUCGGCGGCCAAUUGGGGGCGCCAGAGAGCAGCGGACGCCCCUCCACCGACUUUCCAGCGCUUGGGAGGCGGAGUGAGACGCCCUGUAAUCCCAGCCCUGCCUUUCGCUGGUUGUGAGCUCUUGGCCAUGUUACUGACCUCUCAGAGCCUCAGCGCUGGGUUAAAAUAGAACUGGUGUCCUGAUAAUGGGUGAGGCCCCAGUGGAAUAACGCACGUGAAAUACACAUACUGGGCGUCCACUUAAUUAAGGCCCUAUCCUCAUUGCCUGCCAAGUUCCCAAAAGAGGGAUGGGUUUGGGUGGGAGGUUGAGAGGGGAGGUUCCCGGCCUUUCCAGCAGUGCCCCCUCUGCCGUCUGGGCCUGGCAGAUGCGUGUUGAUCCCAGCGUUUUCUCCAGCGUGCGCUCGCUUGCUAGGUCGACGUGAUCAGUGAGCUUUCUCCGCCCGUGUUCUCCUGAGUGUCCUGAGAGCAGCCCGUUUCUGCCCCUCUUGCGAUUACAAAGUCAAGCCCAGAGCCUGACCCACAGUAGUGCUCAAUAAAGGCUUAGAAAAA
Molecule: long non-coding RNA, 1101 nt
Filed under: Homo sapiens (human)
Lineage: Eukaryota; Metazoa; Chordata; Mammalia; Primates; Hominidae
Description: non-protein coding lnc-ICMT-1:2
Source: RNAcentral